CAGUCGCCGCGGGAAUACGUAGGGUGCUAGCGUUAAUCGGAAUUACUGGGCGUAAAGCGUGCGCAGGCGGUGAGUUAAGUCUGCUGUGAAAUCCCCGGGCUCAACCUGGGAAUGGCAGUGGAUACUGGCUCGCUAGAGUGUGUCAGAGGAUAGUGGAAUUUCCGGUGUAGCAGUGAAAUGCGUAGAGAUCGGAAGGAACAUCUGUGGCGAAGGCGACUAUCUGGGCCAACACUGACACUGAGGCACGAAAGCGUGGGGAGCAAACAGGAUUAGAUACCCCUGUAGUCCCUGUCUCUUAUAC
RNAcentral lists this ribosomal RNA (301 nucleotides) under uncultured bacterium. RNAcentral's name for it is "partial 16S ribosomal RNA". It matches the Rfam family "Bacterial small subunit ribosomal RNA", at positions 509 to 807 of the family's 1533-position model. The record is from RNAcentral.